This 497-nucleotide ribosomal RNA is filed under the name uncultured bacterium. RNAcentral describes it as "partial 16S ribosomal RNA". It matches the Rfam family "Bacterial small subunit ribosomal RNA", at positions 28 to 507 of the family's 1533-position model. The record is from RNAcentral.
GACGAACGCUGGCGGCGUGCCUAAUACAUGCAAGUUGAGCGCUGAAGGUUGGUACUUGUACCAACUGGAUGAGCAGCGAACGGGUGAGUAACGCGUGGGGAAUCUGCCUUUGAGCGGGGGACAACAUUUGGAAACGAAUGCUAAUACCGCAUAAAAACUUUAAACACAAGUUUUAAGUUUGAAAGAUGCAAUUGCAUCACUCAAAGAUGAUCCCGCGUUGUAUUAGCUAGUUGGUGAGGUAAAGGCUCACCAAGGCGAUGAUACAUAGCCGACCUGAGAGGGUGAUCGGCCACAUUGGGACGGAGACACGGCCCAAACUCCUACGGGAGGAAGCAGUAGGGAAUCUUCGGCAAUGGACGAAAGUCUGACCGAGCAACGCCGCGUGAGUGAAGAAGGUUGUCGGAUCGUAAAACUCUGUUGGUAGAGAAGAACGUUGGUGAGAGUGGAAAGCUCAUCAAGUGACGGUAACUACCCAGAAAGGGACGGCUAACUACGUG